GACGAACGCUGGCGGCGUGCCUAACACAUGCAAGUCGAGCGGAGGAAUGAUGAAAGCUUGCUGGAUUCAUGACUCAGCGGCGGACGGGUGAGUAACGCGUGAGCAAUCUGUCCCAUACAGGGGGAUAAUACCGCGAAAGUGGUUCUAAUACCGCAUGAGACCACACUUGGGCAUCCAGGAGGGGUCAAAGGAGUGAUCCGGUAUGGGGUGAGCUCGCGUCCGAUUAGAUAGUAGGUGAGGUAACGGCCCACCUAGUCGACGAUCGGUAGCCGACCUAAGAGGGUGAUCGGCCACAUUGGGACUGAGACACGGCCCAGACUCCUACGGGAGGCAGCAGUGGGGAAUAUUGGGCAAUGGGGGAAACCCUGACCCAGCAACGCCGCGUGAAGGAAGAAGGUCUUCGGAUCGUAAACUUCUGUCCUACAGGAAGAUGAGAAGACUGUACUGUAGGAGGAAGCCCCGGCUAACUACGUGCCAGCAGCCGCGGUAAUACGUAGGGGGCAAGCGUUGUCCGGAAUGAUUGGGCGUAAAGGGCGCGUAGGCGGCCUGAUAAGUCUGGAGUGAAAGUCCCGCUUUCAAGGUGGGAACUGCUUUGGAUACUGUCGGGCUUGAGUGCAGGAGAGGUCAUUGGAAUUCCCAGUGUAGCGGUGAAAUGCGUAGAGAUUGGGAGGAACACCAGUGGCGAAGGCGAGUGACUGGACUGUAACUGACGCUGAGGCGCGAAAGUGUGGGGAGCAAACAGGAUUAGAUACCCUGGUAGUCCGCACGGU
This 770-nucleotide ribosomal RNA is filed under the name uncultured bacterium. RNAcentral describes it as "bacterial SSU rRNA". It matches the Rfam family "Bacterial small subunit ribosomal RNA", at positions 28 to 803 of the family's 1533-position model. The record is from RNAcentral.